This 321-nucleotide ribosomal RNA is filed under the name uncultured bacterium. Its description in RNAcentral is "bacterial SSU rRNA". It matches the Rfam family "Bacterial small subunit ribosomal RNA", at positions 28 to 334 of the family's 1533-position model. The record is from RNAcentral.
GAUGAACGCUAGCGACAGGCUUAACACAUGCAAGUCGAGGGGCAGCGGGGUAGGAAGCUUGCUUUCUGCCGCCGGCGACCGGCGCACGGGUGAGUAACACGUAUGCAACCUGGCCGUGACAGAUGGAUAACCGGGAGAAAUCCCGCCUAAUACAACAUAAUGCCGGGAGGGGACAUCCCCUGCCGGUCAAAGGGGGCGACCCCGGUCAUGGAUGGGCAUGCGGCGCAGUAGGUAGUGGGUGGGGCAACGGCCCACCAAGCCGACGAUGCGUAGGGGUUCUGAGAGGAAGGUCCCCCACAUUGGAACUGAGACACGGUCCAA